RNAcentral lists this ribosomal RNA (528 nucleotides) under Russula sp. 4 RB-2011. RNAcentral's name for it is "eukaryotic LSU rRNA". The stretch from base 36 to 189 matches the Rfam family "5.8S ribosomal RNA". Lineage: Eukaryota; Fungi; Basidiomycota; Agaricomycetes; Russulales; Russulaceae. The record is from RNAcentral.
AGAAUGUUUCUUUUGCGGUCGCACGCAAUCAAUACAACUUUCAACAACGGAUCUCUUGGCUCUCGCAUCGAUGAAGAACGCAGCGAAAUGCGAUACGUAAUGUGAAUUGCAGAAUUCAGUGAAUCAUCGAAUCUUUGAACGCACCUUGCGCCCCUUGGCAUUCCGAGGGGCACACCCGUUUGAGUGUCGUGAAAUCUUCAAAAAUCCUUUUUUCUUUGAACCAUUGUGGUCGGGAAAAGGAUUUUUGGACUUGGAGGUUUAAUGCUCGCCCUUUCUUUCGAAAGUGAGCUCCUCUCAAAUGAAUUAGUGGGGUCCGCUUUGCUGAUCCUUGACGUGAUAAAAUGUUUCUACGUUUUGGGUUUAGCACUGUCCCUUGGAUGCCUGCUCCUAACUGUCUCAAUUGACAAUGAUGGUGCUCUGGUCACUGCCGUCUACAUCGGCGGGAGGCUGGACCCACAAAAAGAAAACCUUGACCUCAAAUCGGGUGAGACUACCCGCUGAACUUAAGCAUAUCAAUAAGCGGAGGAA